AAAGGUAUAGCUGAGUACAAGAGAACUAAUUCCUACUCUCAUACUUCAUUCUCUGUUUCAUCUUUCUUUUACUUCAUCACCAUGUCUACCUGUGGCAACUGUGACUGCGCUGACAAGAGCCAGUGUGUGAAGAAGGGAAACAGCUAUGGCAUCGAAAUCGUCGAAACCCAGAAGAGCUACAACGAUGAUGCCGUGAUUGAAGUUGCCGGAGCGGAGCACGAUGGCAAGUGCAAGUGCGGAGCAGCCUGCGCUUGCACUGACUGCACUUGUGGACACUAAAUAAUAAUAAACAGAAAUAGUAGUUUGGGGGGAAAACAUAAGAAUGUAAUAGGAGGUGUGGUAUGAUAUGUGUGUUUGUGCUGAAUAAGCUGUGUGUAUUCCUCCAUCUUCUUCUGUGUUUGUGUGCUAUUGUUGGGUGUCAGCCAUGGCUGUGCUUCAUACAUAGUAACUGUGUAACGUAAUUAUCUUUGUUGUUUAAUGGUAAUUUGGUCAUAUUAUUAUUA
Telopea speciosissima is the source of this 503-nucleotide long non-coding RNA. RefSeq lists it as uncharacterized. The transcript has 3 exons. The record is from RefSeq and is a predicted model, not a curated record. Lineage: Eukaryota; Viridiplantae; Streptophyta; Magnoliopsida; Proteales; Proteaceae.